AAAUUGAAGAGUUUGAUCAUGGCUCAGAUUGAACGCUGGCGGCAGGCCUAACACAUGCAAGUCGAACGGUAACAGGAAGUAGCUUGCUGCUUCGCUGACGAGUGGCGGACGGGUGAGUAAUGUCUGGGAAACUGCCUG
This 138-nucleotide ribosomal RNA is filed under the name Salmonella enterica subsp. enterica serovar Altona. RNAcentral's name for it is "partial 16S ribosomal RNA". It matches the Rfam family "Bacterial small subunit ribosomal RNA", at positions 1 to 132 of the family's 1533-position model. Lineage: Bacteria; Pseudomonadati; Pseudomonadota; Gammaproteobacteria; Enterobacterales; Enterobacteriaceae. The record is from RNAcentral.